RNAcentral lists this ribosomal RNA (429 nucleotides) under Bacillota bacterium. Its description in RNAcentral is "Firmicutes bacterium partial 16S ribosomal RNA". It matches the Rfam family "Bacterial small subunit ribosomal RNA", at positions 355 to 776 of the family's 1533-position model. Lineage: Bacteria; Bacillati; Bacillota. The record is from RNAcentral.
UAGGGAAUCUUCGGCAAUGGACGGAAGUCUGACCGAGCAACGCCGCGUGAGUGAAGAAGGUGUUCGGAUCGUAAAGCUCUGUUGUGAGAGAAGAACGUUGGUAGGAGUGGAAAAUCUACUAAGCGACGGUAACUAACCAGAAAGGGACGGCUAACUACGUGCCAGCAGCCGCGGUAAUACGUAGGUCCCGAGCGUUGUCCGGAUUUAUUGGGCGUAAAGCGAGCGCAGGCGGUUCUUUAAGUCUGAUGUUAAAGGCAGUGGCUUUACCAUUGUACGCUUUGGAAACUGGUGGACUUGAGUGCAGAAUGUGAGGGUGCGUUUCCAUGUGUAGCGGUGACAUACGUAGAUAUAUGGAGGAACACCAGUGGCGAAAGCGGCUCUCUGGUCUGUAACUGUCUCUAAGGCUCAAAAACGUGGGGAGCGACCAGG